RNAcentral lists this ribosomal RNA (516 nucleotides) under uncultured Pseudoplectania. RNAcentral describes it as "SSU rRNA". It matches the Rfam family "Eukaryotic small subunit ribosomal RNA", at positions 214 to 732 of the family's 1831-position model. Lineage: Eukaryota; Fungi; Ascomycota; Pezizomycetes; Pezizales; Sarcosomataceae. The record is from RNAcentral.
AUAAAAAACCAAUGCCUUCGGGCUCCUUGGUGAUUCAUGAUAACUUAACGAAUCGCAUGGCCUUGUGCCGGCGAUGGUUCAUUCAAAUUUCUGCCCUAUCAACUUUCGAUGGUUGGAUAGUGGCCUACCAUGGUUUCAACGGGUAACGGGGAAUUAGGGUUUUAUUCCGGAGAGGGAGCCUGAGAAACGGCUACCACAUCCAAGGAAGGCAGCAGGCGCGCAAAUUACCAAUCCCGACACGGGGAGGAGUGACAAUAAAUACUGAUACAGGGCCCUUUCGGGUCUUGUAAUUGGAAUGAGUACAAUUUAAAUCCCUUAACGAGGAACAAUUGGAGGGCAAGGUCUGGUGCCAGCAGCCGCGGUAAUUCCAGCCUCCAAUAGCGUAUAUUAAAGUUGUUGCAGUUAAAAAGCUCGUAGUUGAACCUUGGGCCUGGCUGGCCGGUCCGCCUCACCGCGUGCACUGGUCCGGCCGGGUCUUUCCUUCUGGCUAACCUCAUGCCCUUCACUGGGUGUGUU